ACAUGCUUAUCGUUAAUAAAUCAAGUGAAGGAUUUAAAUAUUCGACGUUGGGUUAGGUAAACACAAAGAAGACGUCGAAACACAUUCUAAUAAAGCUAAAAUAAAGCAGGAGGCUAGUUUAAAACGUGGAUUGUGCGAUAACGGAACGCGAAUGGAAUGAUCAAAAAUGAAAAAUGUUAAAUAUUUCAACUUGUAAUUUUCAUUUUCAAGACUGUAUGUUACUUCACUCCAGACUCCGUUCUCCAUUCCGCGUUAAAUAUGAGCUGGAACGUCACUAGAAUUGCGGCGGCGUCCGGAACUACGGUGUGUUGGUGUUGACGUAAGGUAUACUCCUGGAAAAAUUUUCUCGACACAAACAAGCGAUUUGAAAUUUUACAAUUGAAAACAGUUUUUCGUCACAUGUUGUAUUAAAGUAGACUGAGAUUAAUGGAUUUGAAUGCACUUCUCUUCAGUCAACAGCUUGAUCUUUUGAUUUAAAAUUUAUUUAUUUGUCAACUAUCGGUUAAAUACUAAAUAUCAUGGAUUAGUAAUUAAAAUAUUUUCAGUUUUCUUCAAA
This is a long non-coding RNA of Xenia sp. Carnegie-2017, 556 nucleotides long. RefSeq lists it as uncharacterized. Lineage: Eukaryota; Metazoa; Cnidaria; Anthozoa; Malacalcyonacea; Xeniidae. The record is from RefSeq and is a predicted model, not a curated record. The transcript is spliced from 2 exons.